This 74-nucleotide transfer RNA is filed under the name Ruminococcus sp. YE282. RNAcentral's name for it is "tRNA_Thr_TGT". It matches the Rfam family "tRNA". Rfam says of the family: Transfer RNA (tRNA) molecules are approximately 80 nucleotides in length. Their secondary structure includes four short double-helical elements and three loops (D, anti-codon, and T loops). The record is from RNAcentral. Lineage: Bacteria; Bacillati; Bacillota; Clostridia; Eubacteriales; Oscillospiraceae.
GCUGAAAUAGUAUAAUGGUAGUACCGUAGAUUUGUAACCUACUAAUCCGAGUCCGACUCUCGGUUUCAGCUCCA